GCUUGUUCUCAUGACGUCAUCAUAAUGUUGACAACAAUUAAUACUGGGCGUUCUCGUCUGCUUAUUAUUAUUAUGUAAAUUUACAAGUAGGCAGGACCCAAUAUGCUAUUGUCUAUCAAUGUUUACUUAAUCCUACAUUGCUUACUUUGCUUCGCCAGCGUUUGGAAUUUCCCAUGGAACAGGCUACUUGUGGAACAAAUGAACGAUCACAUGACUUUUGUUUCAACUCUUUUUUCUUCUUCUCUUUUCCCACAAAGUCCCGCACCUACGCGACAUGUGAUUCUUCAACGGUAAAUUUUCGUAAUACUUGAUGCAGAAUCAAAAUUAAUUAAGAUCUUUGUUAUGAUUCGGAAAUGGACUCAAAAUUUCAAGUAAAUAUCCUCUUUGAAUUACUUUACAUAGUUUAACACUAAGUUUUGUCGUACUUCUAAGGUGGGCCGCCUGUGAUUGGGUCACCAUUCUUUUGGGGAAAUUUAUUUUCCCCUCUGGCCUCUCUUAUACUUUAUGACCAGUCCCUUGUGGACAAGAUAUUUAUUUCAAUGUAAUCGGCUGUAGUGGCGAAAAUUCACUUUUUCCGGGGGGCGAAGCUUUCUAAAUUUCUGACAAAACUUUCAAAUUUCUGAC
This is a non-coding RNA of Paramuricea clavata, 624 nucleotides long. Lineage: Eukaryota; Metazoa; Cnidaria; Anthozoa; Malacalcyonacea; Plexauridae. The record is from the annotation of a GenBank genome assembly.